This 45-nucleotide non-coding RNA is filed under the name Trichobilharzia regenti. The record is from RNAcentral. Lineage: Eukaryota; Metazoa; Platyhelminthes; Trematoda; Strigeidida; Schistosomatidae.
AUCCAGUUGACGAGUCCCAAAUAGGAUGAAAUGUGCAUCGUGGAU